GAUGAACGCUGGCGGCGUGCCUAAUACAUGCAAGUCGAGCGCGAAGAUGAGGAGCUUGCUCCUCUGAUUUGAGCGGCGGACGGGUGAGUAACACGUAGGCAACCUACCCCUGAGAUUGGGAUAACUACCGGAAACGGUAGCUAAUACCGGAUACGACCUUUCCACAUAAGUGGGCUGGUUAAAAGGCGGAUUUAUCUGCCGCUCAUGGAUGGGCCUGCGGUGCAUUAGCUAGUUGGUGAGAUAGUAGCUCACCAAGGCGACGAUGCAUAGCCGACCUGAGAGGGUGAUCGGCCAAACUGGGACUGAGACACGGCCCAGACUCCUACGGGAGGCAGCAGUAGGGAAUCUUGCGCAAUGGACGAAAGUCUGACGCAGCAACGCCGCGUGGAGGAAGAAGGUCUUCGGAUUGUAAACUUCUGUUGAUUGGAAAGAAAUGAUAGGGACUAAUAAUCUCUGUAGAUGACGUUACCGAUCUAGAAAGCCCCGGCUAAUUUUGUGCCAGCAGCCGCCGUAA
Molecule: ribosomal RNA, 514 nt
Filed under: uncultured bacterium
Lineage: Bacteria
Description: partial 16S ribosomal RNA
Rfam family: Bacterial small subunit ribosomal RNA
Source: RNAcentral